UAGCAACAGCGACUGUCACCGAAGG
Molecule: non-coding RNA, 25 nt
Filed under: Mus musculus (house mouse)
Lineage: Eukaryota; Metazoa; Chordata; Mammalia; Rodentia; Muridae
Source: RNAcentral